AAUCGCUAUAAGCCUAAUCCAUUGUUCAAGUUAGUUUAUUUCAUAUCAGUUUUAAAAAUAUAACCUCACGGGUUAAUUAUAAAUAUUGUGAUGUGUACAUUGUAGUAUUACAGUAGAGGACAGGAUGAAUAUGAAAUGUGCUAAAUAGUUGCUUAUUCUGCUCUGCAGAAAUCUCUCCGAGUGAGAGACUAAGUGAGUUAACUGAUAUAGUAUGGAGCUCCAGUGGAAGCGACUUCUCAGAUGAUGACGAUAAGACUUUGACUUCAAGGUUUCCUAGUCUGAAAGUGGAGAAGUACAGAAAACAUGGCUUGAUCUCCAGGGAUGGUGAAUCACACACCAUUGAUUGGGACAAUGAUAGCGAGUGUGAAGAUAAUGUUGACCAGCGCAGUGAAUCAAAAACUGAUGGUACUUCUUUGGACAUAUCAGACACUGAUUCUUGUACAGACAGCAAUAUUAUGUCUGAUGAAGAAAAGGAACACGAACCUUCAAAGACAAUUUCUUUAGAAAUUUCAGAAUAUUCAUCAGACAGUGAAAGUCUGGAAAAAUGCCAAGCAGAAACUAAAGCUGCUGAUUUAGAAUUCCAUAAAAAGCCCCAGUUCAAUUUUGGAGCAGGGAUUGAAACAGAUACAGGAAGGUCAGCAAGUGACUGGUUAAAAUCUGCUCAGAUGCUUCUACAGACACCAGAGAAAAAGAGAGACAAGAGCUUGAAGACUCCAGAGGAUUCUGCAAAGAAAAGAAAAUUUCUGAGGUAUAUAUGUUAUUUUUUUUCCAUUGUAGCAUUCUGGUAAUAAUAACGAGUAGUUUCAACAUGAGCAAAAUCUAAGAGUUUUAACAUUCAAAGGCUUUUUGAAAGGGUUGGCCAUUUUAAAUCAUUAAUCGUGCCAUUUUAAGUCACUGUAAGUCAUGAGUUAAUUCAUUUUUAGCUCUCUAGUGAUAUAUAUGUAUACAGUUUUUCAAAGCAUUCACACAGUCACUGCAGCAAAUCAUCUUAUGAUGAGUUUACUACAAUAACCACCAUCUUAACAUUUCCUUCUGCAGUGCUGAUUCAAAUAUUUCUAUCUUACACAACUGCCAUAUCUGUUUUUCAUAUAGAUAAUUACUUAUCUGAAUUUUGAACACAAUAUUUGUUGUUCAUUUGAAAGUGCUAAGUUCCAUUCACAUUGUGCGCCAUAAUUAUAUUGUUUGGAAGUGUGGGUGGGGCUGUUGUCGUUGGGUAAGUGUGAAGUAAAAUUAGCAAUAGUACACCACACCAUCACGUUAAUAUUUUCAUAGAUGUGAGUCAUAUAUUUGAACAAAUUACCGUGGAUAAUGAUGAUCAAUUUUAUAGCAUUUCCCCCCCUGUAAAGUUACUCACAUUUUAGUAGUGCUGGUCUUAGCUUUUCUCCACAUUGUAAUAUUUGUGAUAGAAAACAAAACAAAACUUUCAUAUUGUUAUAUAAACAUGCUUUCUGCUGUUGAAUAGUUAAACACUAAUAUCUGACCCCUUUUAAUAGACCUUAUCAAACUUGUAGAAAUACAGAAUGUUCCAAAAUACCACACAGUUAAAACAAAGUCUUUUUCCUGUGAGAUGAGCCAUAACUUUGAAAGUAAAAUGCAUUCUACAGGAAAACAGAGCACUGAAAUUAAAUGGAUUUUUAGUUGAAUGGCACAAGUGCGUUUCUGUUAAUUGAAUAAGUUAACAUGCUACCAGUCUCAUAGAUGCCCUUCUUUUUCUUCCUAUUCCAGUCAAUUCAUUCUUUGAGUCCCUUCAUAGCAUAUCUCUCAAUGCUGUAAGCAACUCAGUGCUGUAAGCACCUGCUUUGUAUGCAAAAGGCUCUAGAUUCAGUCCCUGGCAUCUCCAGGUGGGAUGGGAUAAGCGUCUAUCUGAAACCCUGGAGAGCCACAGCUAAAUGGAGCAAUGCUCAGAGUGUGUAUUAGGCCACACCCUAUGCUUAUGAGAGGGCAAAGUAAGAAAUGGCUCUGCAAACCUCUUUUGAGAAGAAAUUAAGAGGUAGAUAAAUGUCAAAACUUCACUGUGCUCUACACAACAUACCAUUGCGCAGAUAUAGCACCGUAGUUUGGUGAUUGAGUGCAUCUGGUAUGUUCUGACUCUCUUCCCUCUCACUCCUAUAGUUGGCAUCAAACCAGGCUUCAAAUCUGCUUUUAACUGUGGUUUCCAGCUUCAGCUGGUACUGUGGUUAGAAUCAUUUCUCUACCAACCAUGGUUGCCUCCAAAAUGGAAAGGGGGUAUAGAAUGCUUGUACAAAAGGUGAGGAGGGAAGAGUGCUUGGUCAUAUGAUGCAGCAUUGCCUCUGUAGCAGGCCUAAAUGACAUCACAUGCAAACUGCUCUGAACCCAAAAGUUCCAUCUUAUUUUAAGCUUCAAACAAAUGAUUCAUAUUCCAGCUUUAGUUGACCAAGCUUCUAUGCGGUAGACUACUCCAAAAUGUUAAUAGACUGAAUGUGAAAAUAAAUAACUCCUCCACUUCAUGAGUUGCAUUCAGUUUUGUUUUUCAAUACACAAUUAAAGAUGUGCAAACACACAUAACAGUUGAAGCACUUCAGCUAUUUACCAUACGUUUUAUCUAUCCCUGUUUCCAUUUUCUGUAUCUAUAUUUGUCCUUAGUCAGUUUGUUCAAUCCCUAUCCCCUCUGCAUUUACUGUUUCAGUUUCCCCAGUAAGAGAGCAAUUCUCGCUGUUAUUGAUGAUGGAACAGGAGGUGUUUGGGCAUACACAUUCACACACAAGUAGGCACAUACACUGACUUUAGAAGAGCCAGACGUACUCUUCAGGAAGUGGUAUAUUGAAAAAUUGCAUGUUUCUCAUGAGAAGAGCCCUGCUUGUUCAGACCAAAUGCCUGUUUAGUUCAGCAUUCUAUUCCUAUGAGAAGCCCCUGAGUAGGACAUGCCCACAGUAGCACCCUCUCUUCUUAUGUGAAAGAAUUACCACGCUGAGCUCAUCUGUUAUUCUCAUUGUUGCUGCGAUUGUCUCAUUUUUUUAUUGCUGUUGAUCAGAUUUGUCUUCAAUGGAAACUAAGAAGAAUGUUAAAGGUUUGAAUGCAAGACUGAAUAUGGGGUGAUUUGAGCCUGCAUGCUGUCCUUGCAUUCUUAAGCAGUGAGCUUUUUUGAUGCAAUUAAUUUUAAGAGUUUUGCCAUUGUACACAAAAAGAAAAGGGCUAGGUUGCAGAGAGACAAUGGCAUUUAUGCAGUAUUUGCAUAUUUUCUUCUUUUUUCAAGUCUCAAUUUGCUUUUUGUCUGGCAAAUAAUUGGUUAAGAGGUCCCAAUAAUUGGUUAAGUGAUUAUAAAAUACUCGGGACUCCUUGAGCUUUUUAUUACUACCAAAGUACAAAUCAAUCAUUUACUUUUAUUUGCUUCUCAAUUCUUGUGACUUUAGCUGUUUUCUUUAAAGCACAAUUGGUAAAAUUAGGAUAUUGGCUUUUAAAAAUUACAGGAUUCACGUUCCAAAUAAAUUACCAAGUAGUUCAGUUCAGCUGGAACUCUAUAGGUACUCUUUUGUUUUUAUAUUGCGCUUUUGUAUACCGCUUAGAGAGUUUUUAAAGUAAUAAGCAAUUUAGAAAUACUAAUAAAUAUAUAACACUGGGUCCUAGGAGAUUGGGCCUUGUUAUGCUCUCCAUCCUACCUUCACAACAAAUUUAACCUCACAAAGGGGGGGAUCCUAAGAGAGCUCACCUGAGUAGUUAAAGAUAAUUCGCUGUAUAUAUUCAGCCAUUUACCUGACAGUCAUCAGCAAAAAGGUAAUUUCAGAUAAAAUGAUAUUUGUUUUUAACAUAGGCUGUUUUUGAUCUGAAUUGUAGAUAGGUUGCUACAAUAUUACCUUCAGUUUAUUUGCUUUGCUUGCCACUUCCCCUUGUGAACACAGAACUGUUUCUGCCAUGGACAAUUUUCAGACCACUGAAAGUACAUACUUGACCUAGCUUAUGAUAUGAAUCAUGAGGUCAAGUAUGUGUGAGAAGUAUUUUGGGAUGCGUUCCUUGCCAGUGGUCACACAUCUUCCAGUAAUCUGCUCUAGGCUAAUGGUCAAAAGUGCACUCAGUUGUGGCUGAAAUUACACUCUUCAGCAGAAGAGCCGCUUUGACCCAAGGAGUGCUCUUGUGCCCCUUUCAGAAUUGCUCUGCUUUUUAUUCCUGGAAAAACUGUGUAUGAAAACAACUUAUACUAAAUGUAGAUUAUAUAAUAUGCUGAUGUGCUUUACAAAUAUAUACAAGUGUUGAUUUAUAGCACCCCCUUGGCUCUAAAUGAGGCAUCAUGUCUGUUCCUUGGUACUUUGGGGAACAAAGGUAAAAUAUUGGUAUAACUGAA
Molecule: long non-coding RNA, 4297 nt
Filed under: Podarcis muralis (Common wall lizard)
Lineage: Eukaryota; Metazoa; Chordata; Lepidosauria; Squamata; Lacertidae
Description: lncRNA (ENSPMRG00000004919.1)
Source: RNAcentral